Molecule: ribosomal RNA, 253 nt
Filed under: uncultured bacterium
Lineage: Bacteria
Description: partial 16S ribosomal RNA
Rfam family: Bacterial small subunit ribosomal RNA
Source: RNAcentral
UACGGGGGGAGCAAGCGUUGUUCGGAUUUAUUGGGCGUAAAGAGCGUGUAGGCGGCCAGGUAGGUCUGCUGUGAAAACUCGAGGCUCAACCUCGAGACGUCGGCGGAAACCAUCUGGCUAGAGUCCGGAAGAGGAGAGUGGAAUUCCUGGUGUAGCGGUGAAAUGCGCAGAUAUCAGGAAGAACACCCGUGGCGAAGGCGGCUCUCUGGGACGGUACUGACGCUGAGACGCGAAAGCGUGGGGAGCGAACAGG